GGUAGCUCUGAUUCUCAUUCCAGAUGAGAUACGUAGGCAUAGGAUGCGAUAUCCUAGCGAGCCCGCUCCCCUCUUCUUCCAUCUGUGUUUUAUUCCAGUAUGUGUGUAUUCUUUGAGCAGUUAUUCAGCAACCUUAUUCUUUUCUUUUGAGCGUGGAUCCCGUCGAGUACGACGAACAUGAGGGGUGCUAAUACCUUCCCCUUGCGUAACCGACUCCCAUGCCUUGCAUCUCCGGUUGCG
Molecule: long non-coding RNA, 240 nt
Filed under: Lathyrus oleraceus (garden pea)
Lineage: Eukaryota; Viridiplantae; Streptophyta; Magnoliopsida; Fabales; Fabaceae
Description: Pisum sativum (pea) long non-coding RNA (PSAT_LNC032998)
Source: RNAcentral